UGGUGGCAAAAAUUUUGAAAAUGUAUUUGUUUCUAUAAUUUCCAUCAACUUAACAAGUGAUAUCACAUUCUUUGUUAAGUUUAUAUGCCUAGUUUUGUUAGAUAAACAGGUUGGUUAUCUUAUAAUAAUCUGACAGUAGCCAAUACAAAAACCCGUCCAAGGAAGGACAGAACGGUAGCAUUUACAGUUGUCAACACAGCUGGAUUUUUUGC
RNAcentral lists this long non-coding RNA (212 nucleotides) under Mytilus galloprovincialis (Mediterranean mussel). Lineage: Eukaryota; Metazoa; Mollusca; Bivalvia; Mytilida; Mytilidae. The record is from RNAcentral.